This 433-nucleotide ribosomal RNA is filed under the name uncultured bacterium. RNAcentral describes it as "partial 16S ribosomal RNA". It matches the Rfam family "Bacterial small subunit ribosomal RNA", at positions 29 to 507 of the family's 1533-position model. The record is from RNAcentral.
AACGAACGCUGGCGGCAUGCCUAACACAUGCAAGUCGAACGAGACCUUCGGGUCUAGUGGCGCACGGGUGCGUAACGCGUGGGAACCUGUCCUUAGGUUCGGAAUAACUCCCCGAAAGGGGUGCUAAUACCGGAUAAUGUCUUCGGACCAAAGAUUUAUCGCCUUUGGAUGGGCCCGCGUUGGAUUAGCUAGUUGGUAGGGUAAAAGCCUACCAAGGCGACGAUCCAUAGCUGGUCUGAGAGGAUGAUCAGCCACACUGGGACUGAGACACGGCCCAGACUCCUACGGGAAGCAGCAGUGGGGAAUAUUGGACAAUGGGCGAAAGCCUGAUCCAGCAAUGCCGCGUGAGUGAUGAAGGCCUUAGGGUUGUAAAGCUCUUUUACCCGGGAUGAUAAUGACAGUACCGGGAGAAUAAGCUCCGGCUAACUCCGUG